Molecule: ribosomal RNA, 497 nt
Filed under: uncultured bacterium
Lineage: Bacteria
Description: partial 16S ribosomal RNA
Rfam family: Bacterial small subunit ribosomal RNA
Source: RNAcentral
GACGAACGCUGGCGGCGUGCCUAAUACAUGCAAGUUGAGCGCUGAAGGUUGGUACUUGUACCAACUGGAUGAGCAGCGCACGGGUGAGUAACGCGUGGGGAAUCUGCCUUUGAGCGGGGGACAACAUUUGGAAACGAAUGCUAAUACCGCAUAAAAACUUUAAACACAAGUUUUAAGUUUGAAAGAUGCAAUUGCAUCACUCAAAGAUGAUCCCGCGUUGUAUUAGCUAGUUGGUGAGGUAAAGGCUCACCAAGGCGAUGAUACAUAGCCGACCUGAGAGGGUGAUCGGCCACAUUGGGACUGAGACACGGCCCAAACUCCUACGGGAGGCAGCAGUAGGGAAUCUUCGGCAAUGGACGAAAGUCUGACCGAGCAACGCCGCGUGAGUGAAGAAGGUCUUCGGAUCGUAAAACUCUGUUGGUAGAGAAGAACGUUGGUGAGAGUGGAAAGCUCAUCAAGUGACGGUAACUACCCAGAAAGGGACGGCUAACUACGUG